UACGGAGGGUGCAAGCGUUAUCCGGAUUUAUUGGGUUUAAAGGGUGCGUAGGCGGUAUUUUAAGUCAGUGGUGAAAACCUGCAGCUCAACUGCAGAACUGCCAUUGAAACUGAAGUACUUGAGUUAUCUUGAGGUAGGCGGAAUGUGUAGUGUAGCGGUGAAAUGCUUAGAUAUUACACAGAACACCGAUUGCGAAGGCAGCUUACUAAGGAUAUACUGACGCUCAGGCACGAAAGCGUGGGGAUCGAACAGGAUUAGAUACCCUGGUAGUCCACGCCGUAAACGAUGAUGACUCGCUGUUGGCGAUACACAGUCAGCGGCUUAGCGAAAGCGUUAAGUCAUCCACCUGGAGAGUACGCUCGCAAGAGUGAA
RNAcentral lists this ribosomal RNA (372 nucleotides) under uncultured bacterium. Its description in RNAcentral is "bacterial SSU rRNA". It matches the Rfam family "Bacterial small subunit ribosomal RNA", at positions 524 to 898 of the family's 1533-position model. The record is from RNAcentral.